UCCCAGGUGGCUCAGUGGUAGAGAAUCUGCCUGCCAAGCAGGAGACACAGGUUCGAUUCCUUGGUCAGGAA
RNAcentral lists this transfer RNA (71 nucleotides) under Bos taurus (domestic cattle). It matches the Rfam family "tRNA". From Rfam's summary of the family: Transfer RNA (tRNA) molecules are approximately 80 nucleotides in length. The record is from Rfam by way of RNAcentral. RNAcentral also lists the same sequence under 1 other name. Lineage: Eukaryota; Metazoa; Chordata; Mammalia; Artiodactyla; Bovidae.